This 468-nucleotide ribosomal RNA is filed under the name uncultured bacterium. RNAcentral's name for it is "partial 16S ribosomal RNA". It matches the Rfam family "Bacterial small subunit ribosomal RNA", at positions 28 to 507 of the family's 1533-position model. The record is from RNAcentral.
GACGAACGCUGGCGGCGUGCUUAACACAUGCAAGUCGAACGGAAAGGCCCUGCUUUUGUGGGGUGCUCGAGUGGCGAACGGGUGAGUAACACGUGAGUAACCUGCCCUUGACUUUGGGAUAACUUCAGGAAACUGGGGCUAAUACCGGAUAGGAGCUCCUGCUGCACGGUGGGGGUUGGAAAGUUUCGGCGGUUGGGGAUGGACUCGCGGCUUAUCAGCUUGUUGGUGGGGUAGUGGCUUACCAAGGCUUUGACGGGUAGCCGGCCUGAGAGGGUGACCGGCCACAUUGGGACUGAGAUACGACCCAGACUCCUACGGGAGGCAGCAGUGGGGAAUAUUGCACAAUGGGCGGAAGCCUGAUGCAGCAACGCCGCGUGCGGGAUGACGGCCUUCGGGUUGUAAACCGCUUUCGCCUGUGACGAAGCGUGAGUGACGGUAAUGGGUAAAGAAGCACCGGCUAACUACGUG